RNAcentral lists this non-coding RNA (45 nucleotides) under Schistosoma haematobium. Lineage: Eukaryota; Metazoa; Platyhelminthes; Trematoda; Strigeidida; Schistosomatidae. The record is from RNAcentral.
AUCCAGCUGAUGCUUUCCAUAUAGGACGAAACGCGCGUCCUGGAU